UACGAAGGGUGCUAGCGUUGUUCGGAAUUACUGGGCGUAAAGCGCGCGUAGGCGGCUAUCCAAGUCAGGGGUGAAAUCCUUGGGCUCAACCCAAGAAUUGCCUUUGAAACUGGAUAGCUAGAGUGUCGGAGGGGAUAGCGGAAUUCCUAAUGUAGAGGUGAAAUUCGUAGAUAUUAGGAGGAACACCGGUGGCGAAGGCGGCUAUCUGGACGACAACUGACGCUGAGGCGCGAAAGCACGGGGAUCAAACAG
RNAcentral lists this ribosomal RNA (252 nucleotides) under uncultured bacterium. Its description in RNAcentral is "partial 16S ribosomal RNA". It matches the Rfam family "Bacterial small subunit ribosomal RNA", at positions 524 to 775 of the family's 1533-position model. The record is from RNAcentral.